This 767-nucleotide ribosomal RNA is filed under the name uncultured Thiobacillus sp. RNAcentral's name for it is "bacterial SSU rRNA". It matches the Rfam family "Bacterial small subunit ribosomal RNA", at positions 569 to 1339 of the family's 1533-position model. The record is from RNAcentral. Lineage: Bacteria; Pseudomonadati; Pseudomonadota; Betaproteobacteria; Nitrosomonadales; Thiobacillaceae.
GCGCAGGCGGAUUGUUAAGCAAGACGUGAAAUCCCCGGGCUUAACCUGGGAAUGGCGUUUUGAACUGGCAGUCUAGAGUGUGUCAGAGGGGGGUGGAAUUCCACGUGUAGCAGUGAAAUGCGUAGAUAUGUGGAGGAACACCAAUGGCGAAGGCAGCCCCCUGGGAUAACACUGACGCUCAUGUACGAAAGCGUGGGUAGCAAACAGGAUUAGAUACCCUGGUAGUCCACGCCCUAAACGAUGUCAACUGGUUGUUGGGGGAGUGAAAUCCCUUAGUAACGAAGCUAACGCGUGAAGUUGACCGCCUGGGGAGUACGGUCGCAAGAUUAAAACUCAAAGGAAUUGACGGGGACCCGCACAAGCGGUGGAUGAUGUGGAUUAAUUCGAUGCAACGCGAAAAACCUUACCUACCCUUGACAUGUCCAGAAUCCUGCAGAGAUGCGGGAGUGCCCGAAAGGGAAUUGGAACACAGGUGCUGCAUGGCUGUCGUCAGCUCGUGUCGUGAGAUGUUGGGUUAAGUCCCGCAACGAGCGCAACCCUUAUCAUUAGUUGCUACGCAAGGGCACUCUAAUGAGACUGCCGGUGACAAACCGGAGGAAGGUGGGGAUGACGUCAAGUCCUCAUGGCCCUUAUGGGUAGGGCUUCACACGUCAUACAAUGGUCGGUACAGAGGGUUGCCAAGCCGCGAGGUGGAGCCAAUCCCAGAAAGCCGAUCGUAGUCCGGAUUGUUCUCUGCAACUCGAGAGCAUGAAGUCGGAAUCGCUAGU